Molecule: long non-coding RNA, 249 nt
Filed under: Lathyrus oleraceus (garden pea)
Lineage: Eukaryota; Viridiplantae; Streptophyta; Magnoliopsida; Fabales; Fabaceae
Description: Pisum sativum (pea) long non-coding RNA (PSAT_LNC039574)
Source: RNAcentral
UUUUUUAUUUUUUAUUUUUUAAUUUAGUAUAUUAAGGUUAAGAUAUUAAUAUUCACAAGUUUGCAACUCUAAUGUUCAUGAUUUUGUAUAUCCUCUAACAUCAAAAUUUCUAUUCAAAUAACAAAUUAGUAUACAAAAAACUACAAUAAGUGUUGAAAGGAAUAAAUUAAUUUUAGAGUUUUAAAGUUGGAUCUUUUCUUCUCAAUAUUUUUCAUAUUAAUAUCUUGAAGAAACAACUUAUAGUUCCUC